RNAcentral lists this ribosomal RNA (489 nucleotides) under uncultured bacterium. RNAcentral describes it as "partial 16S ribosomal RNA". It matches the Rfam family "Bacterial small subunit ribosomal RNA", at positions 30 to 507 of the family's 1533-position model. The record is from RNAcentral.
AUUGAACGCUGGCGGCAGGCCUAACACAUGCAAGUCGAACGGUAACAGGAAGAAGCUUGCUUCUUUGCUGACGAGUGGCGGACGGGUGAGUAAUGUCUGGGAAACUGCCUGAUGGAGGGGGAUAACUACUGGAAACGGUAGCUAAUACCGCAUAACGUCGCAAGACCAAAAAGGGGGACCUUCGGGCCUCUUGCCAUCGGAUGUGCCCAGAUGGGAUGAGCUAGUAGGUGGGGUAACGGCUCACCUAGGCGACGAUCCCUAGCUGGUCUGAGAGGAUGACCAGCCACACUGGAACUGAGACACGGUCCAGACUCCUACGGGAGGCAGCAGUGGGAAUAUUGCACAAUGGGCGCAAGCCUGAUGCAGCCAUGCCGCGUGUAUGAAGAAGGCCUUCGGGUUGUAAAGUACUUUCAGCGGGGAGGAAGGGAGUAAAGUUAAUACCUUUGCUCAUUGACGUUACCCGCAGAAGAAGCACCGGCUAACUCCGUG